AUUUAUAUAGCACAUUUAAAGACGUGAGUACUAUGUUAAAAGAAAUAUUUCACACCUAGUGUAAAAGUUAGAUAAAAUCAACACAGCAAUAUCAAAUGGAAAAACCAAUAGCUUAAAAUGACAAAUCACUAACUAAUCUAAAAUGCAAGAUCAAAUAAAUAAGUUUUCAAUCGUGUUUUAAAAGAUUGAAUAGAUUCCGAUGCGCGAAUAUCAGCUGGAAGACUGUUCCAGAGGUUAGGUGCAGCAAUGGCAGAGGCACGAUCCCCUCUGGUUUUCAUCCGGGACCUAGGUUGCACCAAGAGCAUUUGACUCGAUGAUCAAAGUGCUCUCGUAGUAUACAGGCUGAGAAGUUCAGUUAAAUAGCAAGGCACAAUAUUAUUUACGAUUUUGAAUGUAAGCAAUAAAAUCUUAAAAUCAAUCCGAUAUUUGAUGGGCAGCCAAUGUAGGUCAGCAAGGAUUGGGGUAAUAGAAUCAAACCUAGUACCAGUUAAAAGGCGUGCUGCUGCAUUUUGGACAAGUUGUAGUUUAUGAAGAAGGGUAGAUUGGAGGCCCAGGUAAAGGGAGUUGCAGUAGUCUAAUCUUGAAGUAACAAAUGCAUGUAUAAGUUUUUCAAGAUCCAUUCGCGGUAUGUAAUGGUUAGCCUUAGAGAUUUGUCGUAGCUAGUAAAAGCUAGACUGUACUACAGAGGACACUUGUUUAUCAAGUUUAAAGGAGCUGACCAAAAUAACACCUAAGUUACGUACUGUAUCAGAGAGGGAGGUAGCAAAGGGCCACUAAUAUAUCGGCUAAUUGUCCCCGAGGGAUAUGGCUAUCAAAGACAAUAAUUUCCGUUUUCUUUUCAUUUAGAAAAAGGGAGUUACUCGAUAACCAGCCUUUGACCUCCCUCAUACAAUCAAGAAAGCAGUGUAGUGAAGAUGGGGUAUCGUCGGUUAGACAAAAAUAGAUUUGAAAAUCAUCAGCAUAAAAAUGAAAAGAAAUGUUAUAUUUGUCAAAUAUGGAGCCCAAGGGUAGCAUGUACAAUGAGAACAACAUAGGGCCAAGAACAGACCCCUGGGGCACACCACAGUGAAAAGGGGUAACAGAGGAAGAGUAGCUCCCCAUCGUAACAGAAAAGGACCUUUCCAAAAGAUACGAUUUAAACCAUUCAAGAGCGUUCCCUGUAAUGCUUACUAAAUAUUCUAGUCUUGUUUUGAUCUUCUAUUGCUGCUGAUUCAGUCAAUUUUGGGUGAAGAGAGACAAAACCUGCAGCUUCAGAAUCUAGCGCAAAAAAAGCAGCCCGUUCUCAUUCCUGGGGCGUAGCAUACCAAUGUUUUGUCACGUCCUGCGGCGUUCGUGAGGAAUGCGAAAGGUGACCUUCCGCGUUCUUAUGGUAUGUGACGGGUUAUGGAUGAAUUGCAGUGGAAUGAUGGUAAGCCCCGACGGCUUGUCCAUGUACGUGCACGGGAUGGAAGAUUACAAGUGAAUCUUCCAUGGCUACAUGAAUGGAUGGACAGAAUAAAUAAAAAUCCUCAUCCUGUCACUGGAUCAUCUGACCAUUAUGCCCUGUAUGACAGAUUUCAUGAGGUAAAUACAAAAGAUCCCAAUGACAUAUUACAUAGAAUUCAACUUGUCCCAGAGCUGAAAGGCUGGUGAGCAGUCAAGUUGUUGAACAGUUCUUUGUUAUCAUGAGGAAAAAUAAUUACUUUUGAAGUAAUACGCGUCCAUUUGCACAUGUGUUUUUGAUGAGAAAUAUAAUUCACCAUUAUAACACUGUCACCAACAAGAAACCUCUGGAGAGGCAGUUAAGACAUGGUCGACUUGGACAGAUCAAUAUCUCACUGUCUGCACUGGGUCAAGUUGUUGUAAGUAAACGAUAUAUGGUUUUUCACAAGACCAGAAAGCUGUCAUUGUUCACAGAUUACAUUUGUUCCUGAUUGUGUGUAUAUUGCUGUUUUCUUUGUGUCCCUAGCCCCACAGGUGUGCAAUAAACCCAGAAAAAACACUAAAACUGUCUUGAACCAGUCAGCUUCAAAUUUCUUAGUUUGAGUAGUGUUUGUUAUAUAUAGGUGAAAUGAUAAUCUUGCAUUCAUUAUCUUGCUGAAGUUGAGGGUUCAUAACAGAUUUCCUUACCUGCUGUUUUAAAAGCAUUCCCUUCUUCUAUAAAUAGUGCUUGUUUUUCUUGCAUUUGUGUUCUUUAAUAUGUAGUGUUUUGUAGUGUUAUAAAACCUGUGGAAAUCCCUAUACAACCUCUGGUACCAGUUGAUGACAAUAAAGGCAAUAGAAGAUCAACAGCUGCAACUUUUCCUGAGCUGUGUGGACCACCGUGCAAAGCCCUGACAGCGCCUGAGAACAUUUUGGCCAGCCGUUCAUCGUGGUCUUUUGUGCCGCACCCUUCUCAACUAUGUUCUGGACAUCAGCAGGCCCAAAGAUGAGCUGAUUGCUGAAACGUCUAGUGGAUGUCUCACGCGGGCUGAUUUUUGGACUCCGGGUUUAAAUGAACAAUUGGAAUCUAUACCCAGUGACAUGUCGAAGAGGUUAACACGCGAGGAGCGGAUUGAAAUUGCAUUGAUAUCUGGUGAACGCAGUAACCGGGUCAUUGCAGCAGAUUUCAAUGCAAGACACCCUACGAGACCACCCAUCUCCCAUGCUACAGUUACCAAACUGCUUGCUAAG
Long non-coding RNA from Oreochromis aureus, 2652 nucleotides. RefSeq lists it as uncharacterized. NCBI's taxonomy places the organism in Eukaryota, Metazoa, Chordata, Actinopteri, Cichliformes, Cichlidae. The record is from RefSeq and is a predicted model, not a curated record. The transcript is spliced from 3 exons.